Molecule: ribosomal RNA, 253 nt
Filed under: uncultured bacterium
Lineage: Bacteria
Description: partial 16S ribosomal RNA
Rfam family: Bacterial small subunit ribosomal RNA
Source: RNAcentral
UACGUAGGGUGCAAGCGUUGUCCGGAAUUAUUGGGCGUAAAGAGCUCGUAGGCGGUUUGUCGCGUCUGCUGUGAAAACUGGAGGCUCAACCUCCAGCCUGCAGUGGGUACGGGCAGACUAGAGUGCGAUAGGGGAGAUUGGAAUUCCUGGUGUAGCGGUGGAAUGCGCAGAUAUCAGGAGGAACACCGAUGGCGAAGGCAGAUCUCUGGGCCGUAACUGACGCUGAGGAGCGAAAGCGUGGGGAGCGAACAGG